UACGGGGGGGGCAAGCGUUGUUCGGAAUUACUGGGCGUAAAGGGCUCGUAGGCGGCCAACUAAGUCAGACGUGAAAUCCCUCGGCUUAACCGGGGAACUGCUUCCGAUACUGGAUGGCUUGAGUGUGGGAGAGGGAUGCGGAAUUCCAGGUGUAGCGGUGAAAUGCAUAGAUAUCUGGAGGAACACCGGUGGCGAAGGCGGCAUCCUGGACUACUACUGACGCUGAGGAGCGAAAGCCAGGGGAGCAAACGGG
RNAcentral lists this ribosomal RNA (253 nucleotides) under uncultured bacterium. RNAcentral's name for it is "partial 16S ribosomal RNA". It matches the Rfam family "Bacterial small subunit ribosomal RNA", at positions 524 to 776 of the family's 1533-position model. The record is from RNAcentral.